Molecule: long non-coding RNA, 221 nt
Organism: Lineus longissimus
Lineage: Eukaryota; Metazoa; Nemertea; Pilidiophora; Heteronemertea; Lineidae
Exons: 3
Source: RefSeq, a predicted model, not a curated record
CGGAAAACCAUCGUCGAUUGCCCAUUGGCGAGAGGAGAAGUAUUUUGGAGCUAUGAGAGUAAUGAGCUGCAACCCAUGUGUCAUCGAAUUGUGCACGAAAAUACCAGAGAAGUUCGGUGUUACUGCAGAAAUGGUGGAACCCUUUCUCGAAGGAAUGACCCUGUUUGAUGCGAUGGCAGCUAAGAGGAUCUACCUGACUGAUCAUAAGGCUUUGAUAGGUA